GACGAACGCUGGCGGCGUGCUUAACACAUGCAAGUCGAACGGAAAGGCCCUGCUUUUGUGGGGUGCUCGAGGGGCGAACGGGUGAGUAACACGUGAGUAACCUGCCCUAGACUUUGGGAUAACUUCAGGAAACUGGGGCUACUACCGGAUAGGAGCUCCCGCUGCAUGGUGGGGGUUGGAAAGUUUCGGCGGUUGGGGAUGGACUCGCGGCUUAUCAGCUUGCUGGUGGGGUAGUGGCUUACCAAGGCUUGGACGGGUAGCCGGCCUGGGAGGGUGACCGGGCACAUUGGGACUGAGGGACGGCCCAGACUCCAACGGGAGGCAACAGGGGGGAAUAUUGCACAGUGGGCGGGAGCCUGAUGCAGAAGCGCCGCGUGCGGGAUGACGGCCUUCGGGUUGUGAACCGCUUUCGCCUGUGACGAAGCGUGAGUGACGGUAAUGGGUAAAGAAGCACCGGCUAACUACGUG
This 468-nucleotide ribosomal RNA is filed under the name uncultured bacterium. RNAcentral's name for it is "partial 16S ribosomal RNA". It matches the Rfam family "Bacterial small subunit ribosomal RNA", at positions 28 to 507 of the family's 1533-position model. The record is from RNAcentral.